RNAcentral lists this ribosomal RNA (819 nucleotides) under Streptococcus equi subsp. zooepidemicus. RNAcentral's name for it is "bacterial SSU rRNA". It matches the Rfam family "Bacterial small subunit ribosomal RNA", at positions 49 to 850 of the family's 1533-position model. Lineage: Bacteria; Bacillati; Bacillota; Bacilli; Lactobacillales; Streptococcaceae. The record is from RNAcentral.
UAAUACAUGCAAGUGGAACGCAGAGGUCAGGUGCUUGCCUUGGACUGAUGAGUUGCGAACGGGUGAGUAACGCGUAGGUAACCUACCUGAUAGCGGGGGAUAACUAUUGGAAACGAUAGCUAAUACCGCAUAAAAGUGAAUGACACAUGUCAUUGGCUUGAAAGAAGCAAACGCUUCACUAUGAGAUGGACCUGCGUUGUAUUAGCUAGUUGGUAGGGUAAAGGCCUACCAAGGCGACGAUACAUAGCCGACCUGAGAGGGUGAACGGCCACACUGGGACUGAGACACGGUCCAGACUCCUACGGGAGGCAGCAGUAGGGAAUCUUCGGCAAUGGGGGGAACCCUGACCGAGCAACGCCGCGUGAGUGAAGAAGGUUUUCGGAUCGUAAAGCUCUGUUGUUAGAGAAGAACAGUGAUGGGAGUGGAAAGUCCAUCAUUUGACGGUAACUAACCAGAAAGGGACGGCUAACUACGUGCCAGCAGCCGCGGUAAUACGUAGGUCCCGAGCGUUGUCCGGAUUUAUUGGGCGUAAAGCGAGCGCAGGCGGUUUAAUAAGUCUGAAGUUAAAGGCAGUGGCUUAACCAUUGUAUGCUUUGGAAACUGUUAAACUUGAGUGCAGAAGGGGAGAGUGGAAUUCCAUGUGUAGCGGUGAAAUGCGUAGAUAUAUGGAGGAACACCGGUGGCGAAAGCGGCUCUCUGGUCUGUAACUGACGCUGAGGCUCGAAAGCGUGGGGAGCAAACAGGAUUAGAUACCCUGGUAGUCCACGCCGUAAACGCUGAGUGCUAGGUGUUAGGCCCUUUCCGGGGCUUAGUGCCGUA